GGGUCAGUAGGUUGGUCGUGCCACCGGUACGUACUGGUCUCACUGAUUCCUCCUUCCUGAAGAACCGUAAUGCCAUUAAUUUGGUGUUGCGGGGAAACAGGACUGUUACUUUGAAAAAAUUAGAGUGUUUAAAGCAAGCUAACGCUUGAAUACAUUAGCAUCGAAUAAUGAAAUAGGACGAUCGAUCCUAUUUUGUUGGUUUCUAGGAUUGACGUA
RNAcentral lists this ribosomal RNA (216 nucleotides) under Glomeromycotina sp. RNAcentral describes it as "partial small subunit ribosomal RNA". The stretch from base 40 to 216 matches the Rfam family "Eukaryotic small subunit ribosomal RNA", at positions 686 to 864 of the family's 1831-position model. Lineage: Eukaryota; Fungi; Glomeromycota. The record is from RNAcentral.